Stegastes partitus (bicolor damselfish) is the source of this 375-nucleotide long non-coding RNA. RefSeq lists it as uncharacterized. The transcript has 3 exons. The record is from RefSeq and is a predicted model, not a curated record. NCBI's taxonomy places the organism in Eukaryota, Metazoa, Chordata, Actinopteri, Pomacentridae.
UGCUGCUGCACUACCAGACGGUCAGCGAGCCCGCCACCAUCAGGAAGCUGGUCAGCGUUUUGCACAAGAGCAGCGGAGAGGUUCUCAAGAAGAAACCCAAGUGUCUGAGUAAAGGCAUGAACGCGGUGGUGGAGAUCCAGACCCAGCGGCCGGUGGCUCUGGAGCUCUACAAGGACUACAAGGAGCUGGGCCGCUUCAUGCUGCGAUACGUCGGCUCCACCAUCGCCGCCGGCGUCGUCACCGAGAUCAAAGAGUGAGGACGUCUGAAGGCUGCAGCUGGACUCUGAAGGCAGCCGGAGACAACGAGUGGAGUCAGAGCUUCACGUCCAUCCAUCCAUCCUCCCCCACAGCUGGACUCGGUGUUUCUGAGCCUCC